Molecule: ribosomal RNA, 444 nt
Filed under: uncultured bacterium
Lineage: Bacteria
Description: partial 16S ribosomal RNA
Rfam family: Bacterial small subunit ribosomal RNA
Source: RNAcentral
GUGAGGAAUAUUGCGCAAUGGAGGCAACUCUGACGCAGCCAUGCCGCGUGCAGGAAGAAGGCGCUACGCGUUGUAAACUGCUUUUAACCGGGAAGAAACCCCAGGACGUGUCCUGGGUUGACGGACCGGAGGAAUAAGCACCGGCUAACUUCGUGCCAGCAGCCGCGGUAAUACGAAGGGUGCAAGCGUUAUCCGGAUUCAUUGGGUUUAAAGGGUGCGUAGGCGGAGCGUUAAGUCAGUGGUGAAAUCCUGCAGCUUAACUGUAGACUUGCCAUUGAUACUGGCGCUCUUGAGUGCGCUUGAAGUGGGCGGAAUGUGCCGUGUAGCGGUGAAAUGCUUAGAUAUGGCACAGAACACCAAUUGCGAAGGCAGCUCACUAAGGCGAUACUGACGCUGAGGCACGAAAGCGUGGGGAUCGAACAGGAUUAGAAACCCUAGUAGUCC